This is a small nucleolar RNA of Panicum virgatum (switchgrass), 136 nucleotides long. RefSeq annotates it as small nucleolar RNA Z247. The record is from RefSeq and is a predicted model, not a curated record. NCBI's taxonomy places the organism in Eukaryota, Viridiplantae, Streptophyta, Magnoliopsida, Poales, Poaceae. The transcript has a single exon.
GCAGUUCAAGAUGAUGAGAUGAUCUCGUUUAUUCUCAACGGCCUGGAUUAUGAUUACAACUCCCUUGUAUCGUCAGUCAUGGGACGCCCUGACUUGACCAUGAGCAAUCUCUACGCUCAGAUCAUGGCCUUUGACA